Molecule: ribosomal RNA, 331 nt
Filed under: uncultured eukaryote
Lineage: Eukaryota
Description: partial 18S ribosomal RNA
Rfam family: Eukaryotic small subunit ribosomal RNA
Source: RNAcentral
CCCUUAGAUGUUCUGGGCCGCACGCGCGCUACACUGACGAAGUCAGCGAGCAUGUCCUACGCCGACAGGUGCGGGGAAUCUUGUCAAACUUCGUCGUGAUGGGGAUUGAUUAUUGAAAUUCUUGAUCAUCAACGAGGAAUUCCUAGUAAGCGCAAGUCAGCAGCUUGCGUUGAUUACGUCCCUGCCCUUUGUACACACCGCCCGUCGCUACUACCGAUUGAAUGGUUUAGUGAGAUCUUAGGAUUGGCGCCACUGCGGCUCAGCAAUGGGCUCGGUGGAUGCCGAAAAGUUGAUCAAACUUGAUCAUUUAGAGGAAGUAAAAGUCGUAACA